RNAcentral lists this ribosomal RNA (450 nucleotides) under uncultured bacterium. RNAcentral's name for it is "bacterial SSU rRNA". It matches the Rfam family "Bacterial small subunit ribosomal RNA", at positions 354 to 796 of the family's 1533-position model. The record is from RNAcentral.
GUGGGGAAUAUUGGACAAUGGGCGAAAGCCUGAUCCAGCCAUGCCGCGUGUGUGAAGAAGGUCUUCGGAUUGUAAAGCACUUUAAGUUGGGAGGAAGGGCAGUAAGUUAAUACCUUGCUGUUUUGACGUUACCGACAGAAUAAGCACCGGCUAACUUCGUGCCAGCAGCCGCGGUAAUACGAAGGGUGCAAGCGUUAAUCGGAAUUACUGGGCGUAAAGCGCGCGUAGGUGGUUUUGUAAGUUGGAUGUGAAAGCCCCGGGCUCAACCUGGGAACUGCAUCCAAAACUGGCGAGCUAGAGUACGGUAGAGGGUGGUGGAAUUUCCUGUGUAGCGGUGAAAUGCGUAGAUAUAGGAAGGAACACCAGUGGCGAAGGCGACUACCUGGACUGAUACUGACACUGAGGUGCGAAAGCGUGGGGAGCAAACAGGAUUAGAUACCCGAGUAGUCC